AGAGCUGGCUCAGUGGUUGCGGAGACAGUUAAAGGUUCGCCUUUGACUAGCUCUGAGGAAAGUCCGGGCUCCCUAAAAGCCAAACUUGCUGGGUAACGCCCAGUGCGGGUGACCGUGAGGAGAGUGCCACAGAAACAUACCGCUAACGGGAAGCAGUUUGCUUCUACGAGUAAGGGUGCAAGGGUGCGGUAAGAGCGCACCAGCAGUAUCGAGAGGUGCUGGCUAGGUAAACCCCGGUUGGGUGCAAGGCCAUAGGAGCACACGGUUGGCUUUUUACCGGCUCCGACAAAGCGCGCCGCUUGAGGCGUCUGGCAACAGGCGUCCUAGAUAGAUAACCACCUCAUGCUGUUAGCGUUAGCUAGCGGGGUGAGAACAGAACCCGGCUUAGGUCCAGCUCUACCC
This 402-nucleotide RNase P RNA is filed under the name Phormidesmis priestleyi. RNAcentral describes it as "RNase P RNA component class A". It matches the Rfam family "Bacterial RNase P class A". Rfam says of the family: Ribonuclease P (RNase P) is a ubiquitous endoribonuclease, found in archaea, bacteria and eukarya as well as chloroplasts and mitochondria. The record is from RNAcentral. Lineage: Bacteria; Bacillati; Cyanobacteriota; Cyanophyceae; Leptolyngbyales; Leptolyngbyaceae.